UACGUAGGGUGCAAGCGUUAAUCGGAAUUACUGGGCGUAAAGCGUGCGCAGGCGGUUGUGCAAGACAGAUGUGAAAUCCCCGGGCUUAACCUGGGAACUGCAUUUGUGACUGCACGGCUGGAGUGCGGCAGAGGGGGAUGGAAUUCCGCGUGUAGCAGUGAAAUGCGUAGAUAUGCGGAGGAACACCGAUGGCGAAGGCAAUCCCCUGGGCCUGCACUGCCGCUCGUGCACGAAAGCGUGGGGAGCAAACAGGAUUAGAUACCCUGGUAGUCCACGCCCUAAACGAUGUCAACUGGUUGUUGGAGGGGUUCCCUUUCAGUAACGAAGCUAACGCGUGAAGUUGACCGCCUGGGGAGUACGGCCGCAAGGUUGAA
Molecule: ribosomal RNA, 374 nt
Filed under: uncultured bacterium
Lineage: Bacteria
Description: bacterial SSU rRNA
Rfam family: Bacterial small subunit ribosomal RNA
Source: RNAcentral